RNAcentral lists this ribosomal RNA (821 nucleotides) under uncultured fungus. RNAcentral describes it as "eukaryotic LSU rRNA". It matches the Rfam family "Eukaryotic large subunit ribosomal RNA", at positions 140 to 821 of the family's 3401-position model. The record is from RNAcentral. Lineage: Eukaryota; Fungi.
GAAUUGUAGUUUAUAGAAGCGUUUUCGGUGGCAGCCUGGGUAUAAAUCCUUUGGAAUAGGGUAUCAUAGAGGGUGAGAAUCCCGUCUUUGACUCAGUGCAUGCUACUAUGUGAUACGUUUUCGAAGAGUCGAGUUGUUUGGGAAUGCAGCUCAAAAUGGGUGGUAAAUUUCAUCUAAAGCUAAAUAUUGGCGAGAGUCCGAUAGCGAACAAGUACCGUGAGGGAAAGAUGAAAAGAACUUUGAAAAGAGAGUUAAACAGUGCGUGAAAUUGUUGAAAGGGAAACGCUUGACACCAGUCAUGCGAGUGGAAAAUCAGUCUUUUGCAGUGGGGAGUUGUGGGCGUUCAGACCGCAAGGCUGGCGUUUGCUUCAUCUUUGUUGUAAGUGAUGCACUUUUUCAUUUGCAGGUCAACAUCAGUUUGCUUUGCUGGACAAAACCCCAAGGGAAGGUGGCAGCUUAGGCUGUGUUAUAGCCCUGGGGCGAUACAGUGGAGUGGACUGAGGUUUUCGCAGUGUGUGCUCUCUGGGCAAGGCUGACUGGGUGCUAUGGGAUCGUUCGGCGUACAAUGCAUGCAUUUUGCGCCGUGUCUUUUUCAUACUCGCUCAACUCGGCUCUUCCACACUUAGGAUGUUGACUUAAUGGUUUUAAUCGACCCGUCUUGAAACACGGACCAAGGAGUCUAACGUAUAUGCAAGUGUUUGGGUGGCAAACCCAUGCGCGUAAUGAAAGUGAACGUAGGUGCCAUCCGCAAGGUGCAGCAUCGACCGAUCUUGAUAUUUUUGGAUAGAUUUGAGUAAGAGCAUAUAUGCUGGGACCCGAAA